UACGGGGGGGGCAAGCGUUGUUCGGAAUUACUGGGCGUAAAGCGCACGUAGGCGGAUUUGUAAGUCAGGGGUGAAAUCCCGAGGCUCAACCUGGAACUGCCUUUGAUACUGCAAAUCUCGAGUCCGGAAGAGGUGAGUGGAAUUCCUAGUGUAGAGGUGAAAUUCGUAGAUAUUAGGAAGAACACCAGUGGCGAAGGCGGCUCACUGGUCCGGUAGUGACGCUGAGGUGCGAAAGCGUGGGGAGCAAACAGG
RNAcentral lists this ribosomal RNA (252 nucleotides) under uncultured bacterium. Its description in RNAcentral is "partial 16S ribosomal RNA". It matches the Rfam family "Bacterial small subunit ribosomal RNA", at positions 524 to 776 of the family's 1533-position model. The record is from RNAcentral.